CCCUUAGAUGUUCUGGGCCGCACGCGCGCUACACUGAUGCAUUCAACGAGUCUAAAACCUGCUCUGAUAGGGGUGGGUAAUCUUUUGAAUGUGCAUCGUGAUUGGGAUAGAUGAUUGCAAUUUUUCAUCUUCAACGAGGAAUGCCUAGUAAACGCAAGUCAUCAGCUUGCAUUGAUUACGUCCCUGCCCUUUGUACACACCGCCCGUCGCUCCUACCGAUUGAAUGAUCCGAUGAAUAUCAUGGAUUGAGGAUUAUAGCAGGUUCGCCUGUCUUGAUCUUCGAGAAGUGACGUAAAUCUUAUCAUUUAGAGGAAGGAGAAGUCGUAACA
RNAcentral lists this ribosomal RNA (329 nucleotides) under uncultured eukaryote. RNAcentral's name for it is "partial 18S ribosomal RNA". It matches the Rfam family "Eukaryotic small subunit ribosomal RNA", at positions 1470 to 1796 of the family's 1831-position model. The record is from RNAcentral.